AUGAAGAGAAAGGUGGACGCAAACUCGGUCAUUCAAAGUCUCUCCCACCCCGCCGCCUCCACUACCCAGCAGGGGGAAAAAAAGAGAAGAAGAAAGAAAGAAAGAAACGGGAAGAAAGUAGUUGCGCCGGGCUCUCUCGCGGGGCCGCGCGCGGAGCUGCUCGGUAGGGAGAGGAGCCUUCAACUCUGAGUCCCGUGAACAUAAUCUGCGCGGUUAUAACCAGCCAACCCGGCCAGAUGGCUCCGCGCUCAGCGCCUUAACCCCUUCAGCGCCGCGCCACCCGCCCCCGCGCCCGGCCGUCGCGCGCCUUGCCAGCCCAAGCCCCUGUGCCCCUCCGACUUGGGGCUGGCGUGGGGUGGGCAGUGGGGCGACGAGGUCAUCUUUCCUAGCCUCUCUAAAAGAAAAACACCAAAAACUUCCAAGUUAAUAGUAGGCUUCACUAUCCCCCUUAGAGAUUCAGGAAAAAACGAAAUAUUCAACUUUUCACUGUAUUUUACAUGUUAAUGUCUUCAGCCUGUCUUAUUUGUUUUUUUUUCUUGAGAAACUUCCUUUUGAUCUUUUUUUUUUUUCUUUCUUUUUAUUUAAGAUUUUCCUCUCUAGGCAGAAGGGCCUUUCUUGCCCCUUCCCCCUGGCGGCUUGGGUCUAAUGUGCAAACUCCUCCUCCAAACCUUAGACCCUUCCAGCUCUAGAUCUCUCCCCACCUCCUAUCAAGCCCACCCGUCACUCCUUCCCCCACCCCACAACGCGAACACGCCCAAGGACAAUCACUCCCCAGCGAACUCGCUGCUCUCAGGGACCAGUACCCAGGACGCUGUGCGGGAGGUCAAGGACAGCGGAGUCAAGAGUCUCUGCCACUCUUUGGCCCCAUCUCGUGCCAGGACCUUUGGAUUCACGCGCGAUUGGGGGAGGGGAGCAAUAGCCUCAGAGUGA
Molecule: long non-coding RNA, 930 nt
Filed under: Felis catus (domestic cat)
Lineage: Eukaryota; Metazoa; Chordata; Mammalia; Carnivora; Felidae
Description: lncRNA (ENSFCAG00000052425.1)
Source: RNAcentral